GACGAACGCUGGCGGCGUGCUUAACACAUGCAAGUCGAACGGAAAGGCCCUGCUUUUGUGGGGUGCUCGAGUGGCGAACGGGUGAGUAACACGUGAGUAACCUGCCCUUGACUUUGGGAUAACUUCAGGAAACUGGGGCUAAUACCGGAUAGGAGCUCCUGCUGCAUGGUGGGGGUUGGAAAGUUUCGACGGUUGGGGAUGGACUCGCGGCUUAUCAGCUUGUUGGUGGGGUAGUGGCUUACCAAGGCUUUGACGGAUAGCCGGCCUGAGAGGGUGACCGGCCACAUUGGGACUGAGAUACGGCCCAGACUCCUACGGGAGGCAGCAGUGGGGAAUAUUGCACAAUGGGCGGAAGCCUGAUGCAGCAACGCCGCGUGCGGGAUGACGGCCUUCGGGUUGUAAACCGCUUUCGCCUGUGACGAAGCGUGAGUGACGGUAAUGGGUAAAGAAGCACCGGCUAACUACGUG
This 468-nucleotide ribosomal RNA is filed under the name uncultured bacterium. RNAcentral's name for it is "partial 16S ribosomal RNA". It matches the Rfam family "Bacterial small subunit ribosomal RNA", at positions 28 to 507 of the family's 1533-position model. The record is from RNAcentral.